This 630-nucleotide ribosomal RNA is filed under the name uncultured Actinomycetes bacterium. RNAcentral's name for it is "bacterial SSU rRNA". It matches the Rfam family "Bacterial small subunit ribosomal RNA", at positions 230 to 870 of the family's 1533-position model. Lineage: Bacteria; Bacillati; Actinomycetota; Actinomycetes. The record is from RNAcentral.
UUCGCGGCCUAUCAGCUUGUUGGUGAGGUAACGGCUCACCAAGGCGACGACGGGUAGCCGGCCUGAGAGGGUGACCGGCCACACUGGGACUGAGACACGGCCCAGACUCCUACGGGAGGCAGCAGUGGGGAAUAUUGCACAAUGGGCGCAAGCCUGAUGCAGCAACGCCGCGUGAGGGACGACGGCCUUCGGGUUGUAAACCUCUUUUAGUAGGGAAGAAGCGAAAGUGACGGUACCUGCAGAAAAAGCACCGGCUAACUACGUGCCAGCAGCCGCGGUAAUACGUAGGGUGCAAGCGUUGUCCGGAAUUAUUGGGCGUAAAGAGCUCGUAGGCGGUCUGUCGCGUCUGCUGUGAAAACCCGAGGCUCAACCUCGGGCCUGCAGUGGGUACGGGCAGACUAGAGUGCGGUAGGGGAGAUUGGAAUUCCUGGUGUAGCGGUGGAAUGCGCAGAUAUCAGGAGGAACACCGAUGGCGAAGGCAGAUCUCUGGGCCGUAACUGACGCUGAGGAGCGAAAGCGUGGGGAGCGAACAGGAUUAGAUACCCUGGUAGUCCACGCCGUAAACGUUGGGCGCUAGAUGUGGGGACCAUUCCACGGUUUCCGUGUCGCAGCUAACGCAUUAAGCGCCCC